This 191-nucleotide non-coding RNA is filed under the name Triticum aestivum (bread wheat). RNAcentral's name for it is "Bacterial small subunit ribosomal RNA". It matches the Rfam family "Bacterial small subunit ribosomal RNA", at positions 335 to 536 of the family's 1533-position model. Lineage: Eukaryota; Viridiplantae; Streptophyta; Magnoliopsida; Poales; Poaceae. The record is from Rfam by way of RNAcentral.
AGGGUGCACGAUCUCGACGAAUUACUUCUUUUCCGCAAUGGGCGAAAGCCUGACGGAGCAAUGCCGCGUGGAGGUGGAAGGCCUACGGGUCGUCAACUUCUUUUCUCGGAGAAGAAACAAUGACGGUAUCUGAGGAAUAAGCAUCGGCUAACUCUGUGCCAGCAGCCGCGGUAAGACAGAAUGGGUGGCUU